This 2247-nucleotide long non-coding RNA is filed under the name Malus domestica (apple). RNAcentral's name for it is "long non-coding RNA (MDOM_LNC014208)". The record is from RNAcentral. Lineage: Eukaryota; Viridiplantae; Streptophyta; Magnoliopsida; Rosales; Rosaceae.
CGAUGUUGGUCUCAAACUAUUCCUCAGCACCUCAGGUACCUUCUUCAUCUAUUGUAUGUAAAGAUUCUGCUUCAAAUAUUUGAUUUAAUAUAAAUGGGUUUUAUUUAAUUUUUCAUAUUUUUUUCCUUCAAAAUUCUGGGUUGUGCACAAAUUUUCGUUAGCAGGUCUCAAUCAAAGUUGUGUAUGCUUUGUGCAGAGAGAGAAAGCGGCUGGGAUAUGAGAAAUAAGCGUUUUUACAAAAUCUUAAUAUACCAGUGCGAGUGAAGUGUGUCUGUUUAGUACUAAUAUUUCAGUUCAAGUAAAGUUUACUGCAUUUUUCUACAAAUAGGUACGAUAAUGGUUUAUAGAUUCCCUAUUUAUAUCAUUGGAAUAUAUUUGUUCAAAGUAAUAUUACAAUGAUUUCGAACAAAGCUUAACCAUAAUAGGCAGUAGACAUUAUAUAUCUGCUAAUUUGUUGAAACUAUUGGUGCUCUAUAAAGAGAUAAAAUAUAUGUUACCCACAAAAUAUAAUGUGAAGAUUAUAAACUGUGAAGGGGAUCUCUUACUUCAUUGGAACAGGAACUGACGUAGAACUACGGAUAGAACCCCGGUAUCUACUUAUAUGUUGAGUUACACACUAAAUCUAUAAAUACUUUUUACAGAUAACAUGCAAAUUUCCUUCUUUCAGUCUGUUGUAUGCCUAUGACGUGAUAAACAUAUAAAAAGUUUGCGAAAAUUGAUGGCUCAUGUCAUAACAAAUACUUUUUCAAAUUCUAAGUUUUUAUCCGCUUUCGCUCUUUUUUGUUCAAUGGUUUCAAUUAAUUGCUUUUAGUAUAACAUGCCCAUAUGUUACCGGUUCUAUGUUACCGAGUAUAGCUUGAGGUUAUGAAUGUCCCUGAAAGCACCUUAAUUUUGUGUAUAAUUUAAGUUUUUGCAUUGUGAAGAUGAGCAAGUUGGCAUCUAGGAGUGCAUGUCACGUGAAGAUGAUAUUGGAGGCCUUACAGGUAGAAUCGUUCAGGUCAUUAUUUUGAGGAUUUGAUUUGAUUUGUUUUUUUUUUUUUCUCUUUAUUACUAAGAUUUUUCCUAACCACUUUACAUAUGGGGCUACCAAAAAACAUUGAAUUGGCACCAAAAUGGCCGUAAUUUUCAUUUUACAUAAUUUUUGCAAUCCUUUGUUGAAAUAUGCAGCACAUGGUAGGAGAUAAUUCUUCUUCAUUGUGAACAUUCAGGUAAAUCUGUCUUUCAUGGGUUUUUCUAUUAUUCUUUGCAGUUUUUCCCUGUUGCUUGCCAUUAAUUACCAAAUUAUCUAUGUGAACUAGGUCCAAGUUCAACUACUUAUGGUUUGGCACUAUACUAUAUGAUGAAUUCUCCAAUCGAAGAUACACCCUUGCUACAGAGUUUUAUCAAGGGGGAUGAUUUAUAUGAAAUUCAAGGUUUAACUUCUAACUGAUUCUUCUCUCCUCAGGGUUCAUGGAUUGUUAAGCAAUGUGUGGGAAGAAAGCAUGCCUCAUUGACCAGGCACUUGAAAUCAAUUAUUUCCACGAGAAGAACUAUUUGGAGGUAUAUCAAUUUUUAGCAUGCUUUUAUAUAUGUUCUUUGAUCACCCUACUUUGUGGACAGCUUAUUGACACUUCACUGAAAUUCAAGGCCUUCUGUUUUCGGGUUCAAUUUGUUAGAGUAUAUAGAGUUAAGGUGAUUCCAAGUGUCACAUGAUUUGUCUAUAUAUUUGUGAGGUUCAAUCAAUGUCAUAUGAAGAUGGUAGCAUGUGUUACAAGAUUAAACCAUCUCAGUAUAGUGUCAAGAUGCAGUUAGUGAGUCAGUUAUUUUAGAGGGAUAUAAUCCUCACUCAUUGUGUAGUAUUGUUUUUGGUAAUUAAUUAAUUAUUUUAAAUGCAAUAUCAUGAAUAUUUAUACUCAUUUAUAUAUUUGUAAAGAACAUCAGAACACACGAAUGUAAUAUAUGUACAUAUUAAACACUACUCCUUAACACAUAUAUUUUCUACACUUUCUACAUUUUCAACAAUUUUCUAAACCCCGCAGCAACGCGCGAGUACACUUGCUUGUAUUGGUUCUAUUGCUGUCAUUAAGAGCACAACUGGUAGUGCUUGUUGCCACGUAUGCUUGUAUGCUACCUUCCCAGCUUUUGGUGUAUUCUUUCUUCUUUUUUUUCGGUAACAAGCUUUUGGUGUAUCCAAUUCAACUAUAUUCUUCCGUUGACGACAAGUAUGACAAUAUAUAUGACAUUGUUCCUUGCAUUACAACAACAACA